RNAcentral lists this ribosomal RNA (482 nucleotides) under uncultured bacterium. RNAcentral's name for it is "partial 16S ribosomal RNA". It matches the Rfam family "Bacterial small subunit ribosomal RNA", at positions 28 to 523 of the family's 1533-position model. The record is from RNAcentral.
GACGAACGCUGGAGGCGUGCUUAACACAUGCAAGUCGAACGAUGAAAUGGAGCUUGCUCCAUGGAUUAGUGGCGAACGGGUGAGGAACACGUGAAUAACCUGCCCUUAAUUUUGGAAUAACCCAGGGAAACCUGGGCUAAUACCGGAUAAGUAAACCUGUGGCAUCACAUGGUUUUGGAAAGUUUUUCGAUUAAGGAUGGAUUCGCGGCCUAUUAGCUUGUUGGUGAGGUAAUGGCUCACCAAGGCGACGACGGGUAGCCGGCCUGAGAGGGGGAACGGCCACACUGGGACUGAGACACGGCCCAGACUCCUACGGGAAGCAGCAGUGGGGAAUAUUACGCAAUGGACGAAAGUCUGACGCAGCGACGCCUCGUGAGGGACGAAGGUCUUCGGAUUGUAAACCUCUUUCAGCAGGGACGAAGCGAAAGUGACGGUACCUGCAGAAGAAGCACCGGCUAACUAUGUGCCAGCCGCCGCAGUAA